UCAGAGAGAGAGUAGAAUGCCCGUUCUACUCUUGCGGCAAUAGAGAACAAAACGUAGCGUAAUCUUCUGCUUCAACUGUAGGUGGCUGGCCCCGAACAUGGCAAUGUUUCAUUCAUGCACGCUGAGCAAAGAACACAUCGUUUUGCUUCUAAGAGAACAGGCCGCCGCAGUUCAAAGGAACGCGUAGCGAGCGCUCUACUUUUUCACUCGGAGUUGCUCCACCGCGCGCGCGCGCGCUCAAGAUCGCGGAACAACACAGCACCGGAGAAAGGUGAUCCGUCCGCCGAGCAGCGCAGCAGGAACAAAGGCCAGCCAAGGGAGAUCGUAUGUCAGCCAUCUCGCGUCGCCACGAAAACACGACAGUCGUUCGUCAUGCCCUGGAUAUAACAACAAAUCCUCCACGGUAAGUGAAUUCCAACUUAGGUGCACAUUGUCCGUAUAUGUCAUGCUAUCGCCAGGAAGUCGUCGCUGCGCUUAGCCGACGCGAUUGACAAAGGACUAGGCAUACGCGCUGUGUCUCUCGAUGUCAAUCGAAAAAGCCAGUCGUCGCGAUAACUGCAUGUGAUUUUAUCACUUUGCCGUUGUCCGUAAGAGCUUUAGAGAUCGCAAACGCUGCCAGAACUAUGGUAUGUUCAAUAAUACGCCAGGCGAGAGGACGCUUAAAAUGGUUCGCUCAUCAGCCCGUGAUUCCGAGCCUAUGCGGAGCGUGAUUAGCGUGCGUUUUGUGUGUUUGAAUUUAUUCAGUUUGGCAGUAUACUGUGUACGGAACGCUGUUGAACUAAGGAAUCACAUAACAGAAGGCGUCAUUUUGCUGGCAGCAUGCUUUUUUUAUAAAUAAACCGCGCGCUUGACGGUGUCUCGCGCAGAGGGAGUCUGCGACCACUUAAGCUACGUGCAGCACCAGUGCUAGUUAGAAACUGCCGCAGGCAUUCAGCUGCAUGCUGCAAGAGGUCAGUUGGGCGCGUUAUCUUGAACUUACUGAAAACGCAUGAGGAAUCCAUGUUUUAUGCUGAAAAAUGUAUAAACACCAUAUAAGCGAUCUUGCGCGCGGCAGCUACAAGCGACGCGAUGGAGAUGGCUGUCGCAUUCGCUCGUCGCCUACAAGUCGUACUCCGUGCAAGUGACGAUAUUGAGCGACGCCUCCCCGGUGUUGCCGGCAUGAGGGCUGCAAUCACGCGUGACGCGUGCUUUAGUAAUUUACGUUGAUGUAUUUUACUAUAAAAAGUAGCAUAAAAUAUUUCCGGAGGUCUUGCCGUAGGUUCUUAUCCUUGCACGUAUAAAAAUCGAAUCAUUUGCUCGUUCCGCGCGACAAUCGGUAGUAUUUGAGCGAUGUACAUCCAGUUCCGGCUUCCCGCUAUUGGCUAGUCGCUCAUAGCACUUUCGGGCGACGAGCGACGAUUUCUAGAUUUCCAGAACCGAGCCAUGUGUUCAAGCGACGGCCCGUUUUGUCGCUCGAAGCCGUCGCUCGUCGCCGUCGCGCACUAAAUCACUCUCACAGUGUUUAUCCCUAAGACUGAACUGUUUUUGCUCAUGUAUUGAAAUGGUGUGAUUAUAGGUAGGUCUGGUUUUGUCUCCAGUUGCGGUUUUCGUGCACGGUGCGAAACUGAAAGGAUGCUUAUGUCUACGAACUCGGUUAGUUGUCGAGCAGCUAGUUAUGCAUCGGCAUCGAAUAUAACGGCUGCUGUGUGGAAUUACAAUUGCAAGGGCGCUCUGCGUACGCUUAUUGUUUUGGACAUGCCUUUGCAUUUGCUAAUAUGAGUUGGCGUGUCAGAGUUAUGUCAUAUGAAUAGCUAAAUCAGGCUUCCUCUGGGGGUUACAAGCGUAAUGUGUGCAUUUUGCUAUUGCAUGGCAGAUCAAAAUGUGUUUAUCGCUUGAAUAUUUUUAGUAGAGAAAUAAAAUAUCAAAAUAAAAUGUUGCUUUAAUUCCGUGUUACCAGUCUGUCGUACACAGAACAAUAGGUUGGUGUAAUAAAUUAAUAACUGCGGUUUAACUGCUACUUUUACAUGCCUUCAAGAAUCUAAAAUGCUAGAUUUCAAACUGCAGCAGUAAGUCGGGUCUGUAAAAAAUGAACUCCAUUGCGCACCUCAUACAUGAAAAUAAGUUCCUUUUAGUAAGCUUAGAUGCAGGUCGCAGUGAACUUUCUUGUUAGUAUUGAAAUGUGGGUAAGCUUGCCAUAACAAGCCUUGUUGCCCUUUUUUAUAGGCACAUCCAUAUAUCCAAUGAACUGAAGCACAAUAUUUUCAUCCCUACUGAGCAUCAUGUUUGCAGCUAUAAUCCUCAAAUUAUGGCUUCAGCAGUGGCACAACCAGGGAUGGUGCGGGGGGCACACUGGGCACGUGCUUAGGAUGUGUCACAAGUGGUGUUUGCGAUACACCAGACUCAUGAAGACCUAUGAUGUCUGAAAAUGACCAAUAUUCUAUUCAUUAGCAGGAGUAUUCGAACAUUCGUGCCGAACGAGGAUGAACUGUCCGUUAUUUCUUUUUUGUGUAAAUCUAAAAUUGAAGUUAAUUUAGCAGUUGACUGUUGCAGUCAUUUGGAUGUUUUGCAUGCAUUUCACUAAGAAGACUAAGAGCUAAGACUUUCUUUUAUUGCCAUGGCCUUGACUGUCUUGAUGUUGUUUUGCACCAUGCCCUUGUAUUGACUUUUGCAUACGAUAUUUUUCAGGCACCUGCUUUAUAUAACGCAAGAAGGCAGCUGCAAGGACACGAGGAUGUGAAUGAGCCAGUGCAGCGCGACUUCACGUAGUGCAGAGGAGCCAAUGUCAAAAAAUCAAAAUACAUUGGCAUGCAAUUUGGACAAGAAAACUAGUAUAUGGGUAUAUUGGGUGUACCAUUUGACCAAAUGUAAACAAAAUCAAGAUACAGUAUGUUACACCAAGAUGAAAAUUCUCACGUGCUCCAGGCAGUCAUCUUAACAUGGUAUAUUUAUGUAAUGUCUCCGAUUGGAAAGUCAAAUCAAGUAUGCUCUCUGGAGACAAACACAUAGCAGCAAGUGUCAUUGAAAAGUUAGAAAUGUGUUUUAAGAAAGCUGAUUAGUUCUGAGAAGUGACUGCUUUUUGUCUUGCCUCUCAACAGAUACAUCCAUGUGAUAAAAAAUAGUGGUACAAUGAAAUUGCAUAUUUGCUUAGUGACAUGAUACAUACUUGCAAUGAGCACGGUGCCUUUGUUUACUAUAAAUAGCAACAGCCCAUGCUUGGUUAGGUUAGGCCCCCUACAACAUGCAGGCAUGGGUGAUCGGCGCUUUUUUUUUAUUUCUGUGUCGUGAGGUUUAUUGACGUGCGUAUAGGUGCAAUGGCACGCAGUAUGGCUAGUACAAAAAGGGGGGGGGGGGGGGGCAGAUAUAUGUAGCUCACUGUACACGACACAGGGCAAAGGAAAUCCGUGUUCAGCAACUAUGUUAAAUGCCAUGUAUGUAAAUUUUACAACGCUACUCAUUCGAAGUACGCACAGGUGCAUAUUGAAGAAAAGUUUUCCAGGGUACAUAAUUUAGUGCGUAAUUUACACUAAUUUUGCUCUAACCACAAGACAUAAUAAAUUGAAUAUACUGCACGGAAAAACCUAGAGCGAAUUAAAUUGUGUGUCAGCUUCGUGUGUAUAAAUAUAGUCUUUCCUAUGCAUUAGGUUUUUCGCGUAAUGCAUUACUAGUUGACAGCCUAUCUUAUCAUGUGUACUCUGUUUACAUUACAGUUGUUUAUUAGUUUACUCAUUUGUUUUGCAACUUAUGAAAUGCCGGUGUAUAUAUAUUUUCAACAUUUGACAUAACCCUGUAUGUUUUGUAGGGACAACCCAGGACGUGCAUUUCUCAGCACCCAGUCAACUGCCAGAAGCGACUCGAACACAGGCCACCAGUGGCACUCGGCUGUACCACUGCAGUGCUGCAGAAAUUGCCAGCACCAGCGGCUUUGCAACAGCUGUUUCACAGCAUGUCGGAGACAAUGCCUACGAAAUUAUCGGCCGUGAUGACGAGAGCCCUCAAGAAGCAAACGACAUCUCUGUUGCAGAAGUGAGCCCGAUACCACCUGAAGUUACCAUGACAGGUGGCACGGCAGCAAUAGAUACAGAGACGGCCAUGUCUACUGCAGCUGCAACAGUGUACGAGGCAAGCAGCAGUGUGUCAGCAUCAGCAGCAGUGUCAGAAGGAACCGCACCAGGCCUGGUAGAGCAACAUGUGUGCUAUCACUGUGACUUUUUUUGUAGUGCAUACAACUCAUUUGCUCAACAUACAAAAGCUUUUCACCACGACUGUGAGCCAGUGUUCUUGUGCAGCAAGUGCAAGACUAAGUUAAGUGUUAUAACACAGUACAAGCAUCACUUUAAGAUAUGAAAACAUAUUACAGUUGUUGCCUCCCCAGCCAGCCCACAUAGCGACAACAAUGUGGAACACAUGGUGGGACACACAUCUUCUCCAUUAGAAGAUAGUAGAGACUGUCAGUGUUGUUGUUAGAUUAACUGGUCUUUGUAGGCAACUAGAAGGACAACACAGGUGUCAUAAGAUUGUUGUUUAUGUUGUUGUUGAAGAGGUAAAAAAGAAGUUUGAUGCAGCUGAAGUGCCAACUGAUAUUGAGCAAAUCAAAAACAACCACCUGAGAAAGCAACACUAUCGAAAUUUGGGUAUCUAUGUGCCGCCAACUCUGGUAAGGAUGGCAUAGGACAGAAGUGUGUUGAAAAUCACACAGACACUGCUGUUCCAUCACUGGUCACAGUGAGCAGUGACUUGUAGGGCAAGAGAGUCAACUGAAACGAACAUUAUGGCAUAGUGUCAUGCUCCCAUGUGACCACUUUCCAUGUUAUUUUGCAUGAUACAGCUCAACCUCCAGAAACGAGACUGCAACUUGUCUGUAGAAAGCUUUCACAAAAAAUUAUGCAUAACACUAUUAACACAGCAGUAUCUUCUUUUUUUGUGGGUUCGAGGUUCCCGGGUGUCCAUUAAUGCAAAAAUUGCGGAAAAAAAGAACAUGAGCCGCACUUGCACCUUUUUAACACGUACGAGGGGGACCGAACUUUUCUAGUCAUGUAUCUUCAUCAUACUAUCAAGUUUUUAAAUGCCUUUUAUAAUUAUUAUUAACAGUUAUAUCUGAGUGCAUUGUAUGCAUUUAGCAGGUGUAAAAUCAGGUCAGUUGGAUCAGAUGCCUUAUCUGCAAGAGAGCGCUAUAUUCAAGAAAUUUGAAUUAAAAUAGGUACAUUAGAGACGCAGUCUUUCUGCACUUUAUUGCGUGUGGUUUAAGCAUUGCUCAAUACUUUUGUGGAUGACAGUUUCAACCGGCACAGCACUGCGCUUUGUCACGGUCAAGUGUCUUCAAAGCGGUGUUUACCAUUUGUGUUGAUCUGUUUGUGUAUUCAUAGAGCAAGUUCUUAUUUAUUUUUUUCCGCAUUCUUGUGCUUGCACUAAGCUUGUAUAAGGCAGUUACAAAAUGGGCGUCACUAUAACAAACUGUUCUGUUGAGCUUACACUUGCAAAUAAUAGUGUUCAGAUGGCCGCACUUCUAUGUAGGUGCACCGAUAGCUUUGUGUAUGUUCUCAUGUUUGUAUAAAGCUUAUAUAAGCUAGUUACAAAAUGUAUGUCACUAAGCAUUGUGAUGUUCUUUAAAGAACUGCUUGGUUGGUUUUACACUUGUGAAUUAGUAUUGAGGCGGUGGUAUUUCCAUGUAGGCCCAGUGCCAGCUUUCUGUGUGCUCACGUGUUUGUAUUAAAAUUUUACAAGGGAGUUACAGCAUGUACGUCACUAAGCGCUGUGAUAUUUUUAAGGAACUGCUUUGUUGGUUUUACACCUGUGAGUAAUAGUACUCGGGUGGAACUAGUCAUGUGUAGGUACACAGGGACCAUUUGUAUAGAUUAUGCUCCUGUAAAGCAGUUACAAAGUGUAUGUCACUAAUCACUGUGAUAUUUGUUGAAGAAUUGCUGUGAUGGUUUUACACAUGUGAGUAAUAGCGGUCAGGACACAGUACUUGCGCUGUAUAGUUGAACUUAUACAGUGUCAAGACAUGGGCUGUAUACGUACCAAAAGAAAUGUAUGUCAUUAUAUUGUUGUGAUUAUUACUGUUUGGAUUUUAUUAAACUCUAAUAACAUUUUUUCUUGUAUCUAUUGAGGUAUGGCAAUUUGUCAUGCAACCAAACUGAGAACCUGAACUUGUGCAUACAAAUAAACAGCUAAUUUAAGAGUA
Long non-coding RNA from Dermacentor andersoni, 6160 nucleotides. RefSeq lists it as uncharacterized. The record is from RefSeq and is a predicted model, not a curated record. Lineage: Eukaryota; Metazoa; Arthropoda; Arachnida; Ixodida; Ixodidae.